RNAcentral lists this small nuclear RNA (174 nucleotides) under Neogale vison (American mink). Its description in RNAcentral is "Neovison vison (American mink) U2 spliceosomal RNA (ENSNVIG00000008159.1)". It matches the Rfam family "U2 spliceosomal RNA". From Rfam's summary of the family: U2 is a small nuclear RNA (snRNA) component of the spliceosome (involved in pre-mRNA splicing). Lineage: Eukaryota; Metazoa; Chordata; Mammalia; Carnivora; Mustelidae. The record is from Rfam by way of RNAcentral.
AUCGCUUCUCGGCCUUUUGGCUAAGAUCAAGUGUAGUAUCCGUUCUUACCAGUUUAAUAUCUGAUACGUCCUCUAUCCUUAUCCCUUUUAAAAGUGUUUAAGGUCCAGAAGAUGUAGCCUCCAAUUAACUGGGUCAGGCUUCCUAGCUCAGGGGUGUCUUCGAGGUUCCCCCAC